GAUGAACGCUGGCGGCGUGCCUAAUACAUGCGAGUCGAGCGAACAGACGCUGCGCUUGCUCCUCUCACGUUAGCCGCGCACGUGUGAGUCACACGUGUAUACCCUCCCUAUCAGACUGGGAUAACUUCGGGACACCGGCGCUAAUCCCGUAUAAUCUCUUGAACCGCAUGGUUCAUUAGUGAAAUUCGGUUUUUCUGUCACUUCUCGCUGGUUCCGCGCCGCCGUGGCUAGUUGGUAAGGUAAAGGCCUUUCACGGCGACGCUGCGUUGCCGACUUGAGAGGGGGAUAGGCCACACUGGAACGGAGACACGGUCCAGACUACUGAGGGAGGCAGCAGUAGGGAAUCGUCGGCAAUGGGCGAAAGCCUGACGGAGUAACGCCGCGUGAGUGAUGAAAGUCUUCGGAGCGUAAAGAUCUGUUAUGAGGGAAGAACAAAUGUGGAAGUAACUAUGCACGGCUUGACGGUACCGAAUAAGAAAGCAACGGCUAACUACGUG
This 497-nucleotide ribosomal RNA is filed under the name uncultured bacterium. Its description in RNAcentral is "partial 16S ribosomal RNA". It matches the Rfam family "Bacterial small subunit ribosomal RNA", at positions 28 to 507 of the family's 1533-position model. The record is from RNAcentral.